UACGAAGGGGGCUAGCGUUGUUCGGAAUCACUGGGCGUAAAGCGCACGUAGGCGGUUCUUUAAGUCAGGGGUGAAAUCCCGAGGCUCAACCUCGGAACUGCCUUUGAUACUGGGGAUCUCGAGUCCGGGAGAGGUGAGUGGAACUGCGAGUGUAGAGGUGAAAUUCGUAGAUAUUCGGAAGGACACCAGUGGCGAAGGCGGCUCACUGGCCCGGAACUGACGCUGAGGUGCGAAAGCGUGGGGAGCAAACAGG
Molecule: ribosomal RNA, 253 nt
Filed under: uncultured bacterium
Lineage: Bacteria
Description: partial 16S ribosomal RNA
Rfam family: Bacterial small subunit ribosomal RNA
Source: RNAcentral